Molecule: ribosomal RNA, 406 nt
Filed under: uncultured bacterium
Lineage: Bacteria
Description: partial 16S ribosomal RNA
Rfam family: Bacterial small subunit ribosomal RNA
Source: RNAcentral
AUUGAACGCUGGCGGCAGGCCUAACACAUGCAAGUCGAACGAGUGGCGGACGGGUGAGUAAUGUCUGGGAAACUGCCUGAUGGAGGGGGAUAACUACUGGCAACGGUAGCUAAUACCGCAUACCCUCGGAUGUGCCCAGAUGGGAUUAGCUAGUUGGUGGGGUAACGGCUCACCUAGGCGACGAUCCCUAGCUGGUCUGAGAGGAUGACCAGCCACACUGGAACUGAGAAACGGUCCGGACUCCGACGGGAGGCAGCAGUGGGGAAGAUUGCACAAUGGGCGCAAGCCUGAUGCAGCCAUGCCGCGUGUAUGAAGAAGGCCUUCGGGUUGUAAAGUACUGUCAGCGGGGAGGCGUUACCCGCAGAAGAAGCACCGGCUAACUCCGUGCCAGCAGCCGCGGUAAUUC